UACGGGGGGGGCAAGCGUUGUUCGGAAUUACUGGGCGUAAAGGGCUCGUAGGCGGCCAACUAAGUCGGAUGUGAAAUCCCCAGGCUUAACCUGGGAACUGCAUCCGAUACUGGAUGGCUUGAAUCCGGGAGAGGGAUGCAGAAUUCCAGGUGUAGCGGUGAAAUGCGUAGAUAUCUGGAGGAACACCGGUGGCGAAGGCGGCAUCCUGGAUCGGCAUUGACGCUGAGGAGCGAAAGCCAGGGGAGCAAACGGG
Molecule: ribosomal RNA, 253 nt
Filed under: uncultured bacterium
Lineage: Bacteria
Description: partial 16S ribosomal RNA
Rfam family: Bacterial small subunit ribosomal RNA
Source: RNAcentral